UGGGGAAUUUUGGACAAUGGGCGCAAGCCUGAUCCAGCAAUGCCGCGUGAGUGAAGAAGGCCUUCGGGUUGUAAAGCUCUUUCAGUCGAGAAGAAAAGGUUGUGACCAAUAAUCACAACUCAUGACGGUAUCGACAGAAGAAGCACCGGCUAACUACGUGCCAGCAGCCGCGGUAAUACGUAGGGUGCGAGCGUUAAUCGGAAUUACUGGGCGUAAAGGGUGCGCAGGCGGUUUUGUAAGUCAGAUGUGAAAUCCCCGGGCUUAACCUGGGAACUGCGUUUGAAACUACAAGACUAGAGUGUGGCAGAGGGGGUGGAAUUCCAUGUGUAGCAGUGAAAUGCGUAGAGAUAUGGAGGAAUACCGAUGGCGAAGGCAGCCCCCUGGGUCGAUACUGACGCUCAUGCACGAAAGCGUGGGGAGCAAACAGGAUUAGAUACCCCCGUAGUCCCUGAGCGGGCUGGCAAGGCGCAU
Molecule: ribosomal RNA, 471 nt
Filed under: uncultured bacterium
Lineage: Bacteria
Description: bacterial SSU rRNA
Rfam family: Bacterial small subunit ribosomal RNA
Source: RNAcentral